CUUUCUCCGCCGGCGACCGGCGCACGGGUGAGUAACACGUAUGCAACCUCGCCCCUGUCAGGGGGACAACCCGCCGAAAGGCGGGCUAAACCCGCGUACAUGCCACCGGGGCAUCCCGGAGGCAGGAAAGGCUUCGGCCGGACAGGGAUGGGCAUGCGGCGCAUUAGGCAGUAGGCGGGGUAACGGCCCACCUAACCGACGAUGCGUAGGGGUUCUGAGAGGAAGGUCCCCCACACUGGUACUGAGACACGGACCAGACUCCUACGGGAGGCAGCAG
RNAcentral lists this ribosomal RNA (277 nucleotides) under uncultured bacterium. RNAcentral describes it as "partial 16S ribosomal RNA". It matches the Rfam family "Bacterial small subunit ribosomal RNA", at positions 79 to 354 of the family's 1533-position model. The record is from RNAcentral.